RNAcentral lists this ribosomal RNA (2850 nucleotides) under Triticum aestivum (bread wheat). Its description in RNAcentral is "partial small subunit ribosomal RNA". The record is from RNAcentral. Lineage: Eukaryota; Viridiplantae; Streptophyta; Magnoliopsida; Poales; Poaceae.
AUGCUCCCUCGCCCUCCUUCCCACCUCCUGCCAUGGCGGUGCCUCCUCCUCCUCCUCAUCCUGGCCUUGGCCGGCAGCAGCAAUGGCGUCUCUGCGACUGCCAAGGCAAAGGCCAAGGCACCGGCAGCGGCGCCCAAGCCGGCCGGGUUCGGGUACAAGCUGGUCUCCCUCGUCCAGCGCCCCAACGGGGGAGGCCUCGUCGGCUUCCUCCAGGUGAAGCGGCGCACCUCCACCUACGGCCCUGACAUCCCCCGCCUCAGGCUCUUCGUCAAGCACGAGACCAUGGACAGGGUACGGGUGCAGAUAACGGACGCGGAGAAGCAGAGGUGGGAGGUCCCCUACGACCUGCUCCCGCGGGAGCCAUCCCCGCCCCUCGGCGCCACCGCCGACGGCGCCCCCUUCACCGCCGGGGAGUACCCGGGGCAGGACCUCGUCUUCACCUACGGCCGCGACCCCUUCUGGUUCGCCGUGCACCGCAAAUCCACCCGGCAGCCGCUCUUCAACACCAGCCGCGCCCCGCUGGUGUUCAAGGACCAGUACCUGGAGGUGUCCACGCGCCUUCCCGGCGACGCCGCGCUCUACGGGCUCGGCGAGAACACGCAGCCCGGCGGCAUCAAGCUCCGGCCCAACGACCCCUACACGCUCUACACCACCGACGCCUCCGCCAUCAACCUCAACACCGACCUCUACGGCUCCCACCCGGUGUACGUGGACCUCCGCAACCUCGCCGGCCGCGGCGUCGCGCACGCCGUGCUGCUGCUCAACAGCAACGGCAUGGACGUCUUGUACACCGGCACCUCGCUGACCUACAAGGUCAUCGGCGGCCUCCUCGACUUCUACUUCUUCGCCGGCCCGACGCCGCUCGCCGUCGUCGACCAGUACACCGCCAUGAUCGGCCGCCCCGCGCCCAUGCCGUACUGGGCAUUUGGGUUCCACCAAUGCAGGUGGGGAUACCAUAACCUUUCGGUGGUGGAGGACGUGGUGGAGAACUACCGGAGCGCGCAGAUCCCCCUGGACGUGAUCUGGAACGACGACGACCAUAUGGACGCCAGGAAGGACUUCACUCUGAGCCCCGUGAACUACCCGCGCCCCAAGCUGCUGGCCUUCCUCGACAAGAUCCACGCGCGCGGGAUGAAGUACAUUGUCCUCAUCGACCCCGGCAUCAACGUGAACCACACCUACGGCGUGUACCAGCGCGGCAUGGACCGCGACAUCUUCAUCAAGCUCGACGGGCAGCCAUACCUCGCCCAGGUCUGGCCCGGCCCCGUCUACUUCCCGGACUUCAUCAACCCCAACGGCGCCUCGUGGUGGAUCGACGAGGUGCGCCGCUUCCACGAGCUCGUCCCCGUGGACGGGCUCUGGAUCGACAUGAACGAGGCCUCCAACUUCUGCACCGGCAAGUGCACCAUCCCGACCACGCACCGGUGCCCGGACCCGACGUCCAAGGAGCCCUGGCUGUGCUGCCUCGACUGCAAGAACCUCACCAACACCAGGUGGGACGAGCCGCCGUACAAGAUCAACGCCUCCGGGAAGUCGGCGCGCCUCGGCUACAACACCAUCGCCACCAGCGCCGUGCACUACAAUGGCGUCCUGGAGUACAAUGCCCACAGCCUGUAUGGCUUCUCGCAGGCCAUCGCCACGCACAAGGGGCUGCAGAGCAUCCAGGGCAAGAGGCCGUUCAUCCUCACCAGGUCGACAUUCGUCGGCUCCGGCGCCUACGCCGCGCACUGGACCGGCGACAACAAGGGCACCUGGGAGGACCUCCGCUACUCCAUCUCGACCAUGCUCAACUUCGGCAUCUUCGGCAUGCCCAUGGUCGGCUCCGACAUCUGCGGCUUCUACCCGGCGAGCCCGCCGCCGCUGGAGGAGCUGUGCAGCCGCUGGAUCGAGCUCGGCGCCUUCUACCCCUUCUCCAGGGACCACGCCAACUUCGCCUCGCCGAGGCAGGAGCUCUACCAGUGGCAGUCCGUGGCGAGGUCCGCCCGGAACGCGCUCGGCAUGCGCUACAGGAUGCUCCCCUACCUCUACACGCUCAACUACCAGGCGCACCUCACCGGCGCUCCCGUCGCGCGCCCGCUCUUCUUCUCCUUCCCGGACUUCGCGCCGUGCUACGGCGUGAGCAACCAGUUCCUGCUCGGCGCCGGCGUCAUGGUGUCCCCCGUCCUCGAGCAGGGCGCCAGCUCCGUCGACGCGGUCUUCCCGCCGGGCACGUGGUACAACCUCUUCGACACCAGCAAGGCGGUCGUGUCCACGGGCUCCGGCGCCGCCGUCAGGCUCCCGGCCCCGCUGAACGAGGUGAACGUGCACGUGCACCAGGGCACGGUCCUGCCGCUGCAGCGCGGCGGCACCAUCUCCCGGGACGCGCGCGCGACGCCGUUCACGCUGGUGGUGGCGUUCCCUCUCGGCGCGGCGGACGCGGACGCGGAGGGCGCCGUGUACGUGGACGACGACGAGCGGCCCGCCAUGGUGCUCGCGGAGGGGCAGGCGACGUACGCGCGGUUCCACGCGGCCGUGCGCGGGGGCAAGGAGGUGACGGUGCGGUCGGACGUGGCCAUGGGGAGCUACAGCAUGCACAAGGGCCUCGUCAUCGAGAAGAUCACCGUGCUGGGGCUGCACGGCGCCGGCACGGACCUCGCCAUCCAGGUCGACGGCGCGGACGACGCCACCGCGGUCGCCACGUCGAGCCCCUACUUCGCGGCCGCCGACGCCGCGCAGGUGCUGCGCCAAGGAGAAGAAGAUGACGCCGUGGAGGGUGAAAAGAGGAGCGGCGUGACGAUGGAGGUGGGCGGGCUGGCGUUGCCGCUGGGGAAGAGCUUCACCAUGACGUGGAACAUGCGCAUCCAAGCAUAG